AUUGAACGCUGGCGGCAUGCCUUACACAUGCAAGUCGAACGGCAGCAUGAUCUAGCUUGCUAGAUUGAUGGCGAGUGGCGAACGGGUGAGUAAUACAUCGGAACGUGCCCUGUAGUGGGGGAUAACUAGUCGAAAGAUUAGCUAAUACCGCAUACGACCUGAGGGUGAAAGUGGGGGACCGCAAGGCCUCGUGCUAUAGGAGCGGCCGAUGUCUGAUUAGCUAGUUGGUGAGGUAAAGGCUCACCAAGGCGACGAUCAGUAGCUGGUCUGAGAGGACGAUCAGCCACACUGGGACUGAGACACGGCCCAGACUCCUACGGGAGGCAGCAGUGGGGAAUUUUGGACAAUGGGCGAAAGCCUGAUCCAGCAAUGCCGCGUGUGUGAAGAAGGCCCUCGGGUUGUAAAGCACUUUUGUCCGGAAAGAAAUGGCUCUGGUUAAUACCUGGGGUCGAUGACGGUACCGGAAGAAUAAGGACCGGCUAACUACGUG
This 490-nucleotide ribosomal RNA is filed under the name uncultured bacterium. Its description in RNAcentral is "partial 16S ribosomal RNA". It matches the Rfam family "Bacterial small subunit ribosomal RNA", at positions 30 to 507 of the family's 1533-position model. The record is from RNAcentral.